Molecule: microRNA, 23 nt
Filed under: Parasteatoda tepidariorum (common house spider)
Lineage: Eukaryota; Metazoa; Arthropoda; Arachnida; Araneae; Theridiidae
Description: pte-miR-35l-3p
Gene: pte-miR-35l-3p
Source: miRBase by way of RNAcentral
ACACCGGGUCGUUUAUUUGCUUU